GUAAGUUAUGUAGGUAAGGCAUUAGUUCUUUUGCUUAGUGCUUUUUAUACUCAAAUUUCUUUUUCCUUUUAUGAAACAGAACUUUGUAGGGACUCCAAAAUCUGAUCCCCUCCUUAAUAUGAUUGCAGUCUUGGUUUUGCAUGCUUCGUUUAGAAAACUUACCCCAACAAAACAAUCUACACGAAGUGACAGAAACAGGAGGAGCAGUAAAAGAUGAGGAAAAACGAUGAAGUGUUGAAGAUUACUGUCUGUACAUUGUAGCUAGCCAGACUGCCCGGACCAUAUCUGCUUGCUGAACCUAUUAGCUAUAUGUCCUGCAGAUACUAGUGUCCAAUUUUAUCAAAUCACAAACUAGGUUCGAUUCAUCUGUUCUUUUCUACCUCUCUCUUCUCACGGGUACUCAG
This 404-nucleotide long non-coding RNA is filed under the name Coffea arabica (coffee). RNAcentral's name for it is "long non-coding RNA (CARA_LNC007184)". Lineage: Eukaryota; Viridiplantae; Streptophyta; Magnoliopsida; Gentianales; Rubiaceae. The record is from RNAcentral.